GCUUCGGGGCUGCUUCCCGGGAUGGCUGCGGACGCCUCCGGAGCAAAGACUCCUGAAACUACAACUCCCAGAAAACCUGACUUAUCAGUCAGUGCAAGAAAAAUUAAGGACAAUGCAGCUGAUUGGCAUAAUUUAAUACUGAAAUGGGAAACCCUCAGUGAUGCAGGUUUUACCACUGCCAAUAACAUCGCCAAUCUGAAAAUCAGCUUACUGAAUAAAGAACAGAUAGAAUUAGAGAACAGCAACCCAGUGUUCAGUGAAAAUGAAGAAAAGAGGUGUCCAGAAGAUGAUAAAGAACUUGAGUCACUGUGCAAGGAACUGCAGGUCACUUUGGAUGGUUUGGCUAAAAUACAGGUGAAAAUGGAAAAGCUAUCUUCAACUACCAAGGGAAUUUGUGAGCUAGAAAAUUAUUAUUAUGGGGAGGAGCACAGACGCCCCCCCCUGUUCCAUACCUGGCCUACCACCUAUUUCUAUGAGGUUUCCCACCAGCUCUCUGACAUGUACCGGAAGGACCUCCUCCUGAAGCACACAGUGGCUGCAGAGCUGGCACACACGGCCAACCGAGACCUGUCCCUCAGCUACCUGUCCAUGUGGCUACACCAGCCCUAUGUGGAGGGCAGGAGCAAGCUCCUCCUGGAGAGCAUGCUGUGGGAGACAGGCCACCGGGGGCUGUGAUGCCUGACAGACCACACCAACCAAGCCAGGCUCCAGACCAGUGGACUCUCCCCUGCCCUCAGAUGGACAGGGCCCCAGGUCUGGCCCUGGGACAAUAUCACCCUCCCCUGCAUGCAUGCGCCCGCACCUGCUGAGAAGUUCCCACUGGGGCACCUGCAUGAGACUCAGCGCUCCUGAGAGAGGACACUGAAGAUUCACCACCAUAACGGCCUUCCACGACAUUCCAAUGUGCUCCCAGACUCCCAUCAGCCCUUGCUCAGGAAAGUUAAACGACUGCUUCUCCUAAGUACUACAGAAGCAAAAGAGCUAACAGGUGAACAAGGAAUCUGAACCAGGUAUGGUGGUUCAUACCUGUAGUUCCAGAUACUCAAAAGACUAAGACAAGGAGGAUCACAAGUUGAAGGCCAUCCUGAGUGUCUUAGACCUCGAAAUACAUUUUUUAAUUUUUAAAUAAAUUUUAUGACUGUGUAUAGCUUACCAGGCAUUCUCAGGCUCUUGGUUCAAGUUUCAAUGCUGUAGAAACAAACACACACAAACCCUGAGGAGUAACUUCUGAGAGUAACAAUGAAAUAGAGGGCUGAUCACAUAGUUAUGUCCCCUACCUGUACAAAUCCUGCCAAACUGACAGAACGGAAACAUGAAAAUCUACCAAUGGAUUUGGGGAAAAUGUGUGUGUGAGACGUGACUCCAGGAUACACAAAAACUUACACAAAGCCAAAAAACACAAGGCACACUU
This is an RNA transcript of Dipodomys ordii (Ord's kangaroo rat), 1411 nucleotides long. It is a transcript of the gene named cyclin-dependent kinase 2 interacting protein, with no coding region annotated. NCBI's taxonomy places the organism in Eukaryota, Metazoa, Chordata, Mammalia, Rodentia, Heteromyidae. The transcript is spliced from 6 exons. The record is from RefSeq and is a predicted model, not a curated record.